GACCUGGUGGUGAAUGGAUCACACCCACCUCACUUAGACAUCUCCUCGUACAUCUGUGGGAGUCCCGGUUCGAAUCCGGGCCAGGUCA
Mycena olivaceomarginata is the source of this 88-nucleotide non-coding RNA. Lineage: Eukaryota; Fungi; Basidiomycota; Agaricomycetes; Agaricales; Mycenaceae. The record is from the annotation of a GenBank genome assembly.